ACAGUACAAACUGAGCAGGCAGUGAACAGUGAUGUUCAUGUGGUCGGGCCUAAGGGCAACGGAUGAAUUGACAUCUGUGGGACAGU
Molecule: non-coding RNA, 86 nt
Filed under: uncultured Butyrivibrio sp.
Lineage: Bacteria; Bacillati; Bacillota; Clostridia; Lachnospirales; Lachnospiraceae
Description: NiCo riboswitch
Rfam family: NiCo (Nickel/Cobalt) riboswitch aptamer
Source: RNAcentral